UACGUAGGGGGCUAGCGUUGUCCGGAAUCAUUGGGCGUAAAGCGCGUGUAGGCGGUUCGGUAAGUCCGCUGUGAAAGUCGGGGGCUCAACCCUCGAAUGCCGGUGGAUACUGUCGGACUAGAGUACGGAAGAGGCGAGUGGAAUUCCUGGUGUAGCGGUGAAAUGCGCAGAUAUCAGGAGGAGCACCAAUUGCGAAGGCAGCUCGCUGGGACGUUACUGACGCUGAGACGCGAAAGCGUGGGGAGCAAACAGG
This 253-nucleotide ribosomal RNA is filed under the name uncultured bacterium. Its description in RNAcentral is "partial 16S ribosomal RNA". It matches the Rfam family "Bacterial small subunit ribosomal RNA", at positions 524 to 776 of the family's 1533-position model. The record is from RNAcentral.